RNAcentral lists this ribosomal RNA (421 nucleotides) under uncultured bacterium. RNAcentral describes it as "bacterial SSU rRNA". It matches the Rfam family "Bacterial small subunit ribosomal RNA", at positions 355 to 774 of the family's 1533-position model. The record is from RNAcentral.
UGAGGAAUAUUGGUCAAUGGCCGGGAGGCUGAACCAGCCAAGUCGCGUGAGGGAAGACGGCCCUACGGGUUGUAAACCUCUUUUGUCAGGGAGCAAGAGGCGGGUCGGGACCUGCUGUGAGAGUACCUGAAGAAAAAGCAUCGGCUAACUCCGUGCCAGCAGCCGCGGUAAUACGGAGGAUGCGAGCGUUAUCCGGAUUUAUUGGGUUUAAAGGGUGCGCAGGCGGAGGCACAAGUCAGCGGUAAAAUCGCGGGGCUCAACCCCGCUCCGCCGUUGAAACUGUGUCCCUUGAGUGCGCGAAGGGUAGGCGGAAUGCGUGGUGUAGCGGUGAAAUGCAUAGAUAUCACGCAGAACUCCGAUCGCGAAGGCAGCCUACCGGCGCGCAACUGACGCUCAUGCACGAAAGCGUGGGUAUCGAACA